This 460-nucleotide ribosomal RNA is filed under the name uncultured bacterium. RNAcentral describes it as "partial 16S ribosomal RNA". It matches the Rfam family "Bacterial small subunit ribosomal RNA", at positions 338 to 795 of the family's 1533-position model. The record is from RNAcentral.
CCUACGGGUGGCAGCAGUGAGGAAUAUUGGUCAAUGGACGAGAGUCUGAACCAGCCAAGUAGCGUGAAGGAUGACUGCCCUCUGGGUUGUAAACUUCUUUUAUAUGGGAAUAAAAUGUUCCACGUGUGGGAUUUUGUAUGUACCAUAUGAAUAAGGAUCGGCUAACUCCGUGCAAGCAGCCGCGGUAAUACGGAGGAUCCGAGCGUUAUCCGGAUUUAUGGGGGUUAAGGGGAGCGUAGGUGGUUUGUUAAGUCAGUUGUGAAAGUUUGGGGUUCAACCGUAAAAUUGACGUGGAAACUGGAAGUCUUGAGUACAGUAGAGGUGGCUGGAAUUCGUGGUGUAGCGGUGAAAUGCUUAGAUAUCACGAAGAACUCCGAUGGCGAAGGCAGGUCACUGGACUGCUACUGACACUGAGGCGCGAAAGUGUGGGUAGCAAACAGGAUUAGAUACCCUUGUAGUC